GUCCAGACUCCUACGGGAGGCAGCAGUGGGGAAUAUUGCACAAUGGGGGAAACCCUGAUGCAGCAACGCCGCGUGAGUGAAGAAGUCAUUCGUGAUGUAAAGCUCUAUCAGCAGGGAAGAAAAUGACGGUACCUGAGUAAGAAGCCCCGGCUAACUACGUGCCAGCAGCCGCGGUAAUACGUAGGGGGCAAGCGUUAUCCGGAUUCACUGGGUGUAAAGGGAGCGUAGACGGCCAUGCAAGCCAGGGGUGAAAGCCCGGGGCCCAACCCCGGGACUGCCCUUGGAACUGCAUGGCUGGAGUGCGGGAGGGGCAGGCGGAAUUCCUGGUGUAGCGGUGAAAUGCGUAGAUAUCAGGAGGAACACCGGCGGCGAAGGCGGCCUGCUGGACCGCGACUGACGUUGAGGCUCGAAAGCGUGGGGAGCAAACAGGAUUAGAUACCCUUGUA
This 446-nucleotide ribosomal RNA is filed under the name uncultured bacterium. RNAcentral's name for it is "bacterial SSU rRNA". It matches the Rfam family "Bacterial small subunit ribosomal RNA", at positions 329 to 792 of the family's 1533-position model. The record is from RNAcentral.